UACGAAGGGGGCUAGCGUUGUUCGGAAUUACUGGGCGUAAAGAGCGUGUAGGCGGCCAGGUAGGUCGGUUGUGAAAACUGGAGGCUCAACCUUCAGAGGUCGACCGAAACCAUCUGGCUAGAGUCCGGGAGAGGAGAGUGGAAUUCCUGGUGUAGCGGUGAAAUGCGCAGAUAUCAGGAAGAACACCCGUGGCGAAAGCGGCUCUCUGGAACGGUACUGACGCUGAGACGCGAAAGCGUGGGGAGCGAACAGG
RNAcentral lists this ribosomal RNA (253 nucleotides) under uncultured bacterium. RNAcentral's name for it is "partial 16S ribosomal RNA". It matches the Rfam family "Bacterial small subunit ribosomal RNA", at positions 524 to 776 of the family's 1533-position model. The record is from RNAcentral.